ACUUACGAGAGGUUCUCUCCCUUUCCA
RNAcentral lists this transfer RNA (27 nucleotides) under Varanus rosenbergi. RNAcentral's name for it is "tRNA-Tyr". Lineage: Eukaryota; Metazoa; Chordata; Lepidosauria; Squamata; Varanidae. The record is from RNAcentral.